GUAGGCCUUGAUAAGUUGGUACCUGUACACUUUUUACUAAAUUAUUUGGUUAGGACUUGUUUCCUGCUACAUCCUAACUAGAUUUGAAUUGGCUUUGUCUUGUUAGCUUCUGAAACUUUUCUUCGCUCAGCCAAUGCACACUAGUCUUGAAGGCUUUGAAUGCUUGGACUAAAGUUUCUCUUUCACAUUGUUCAUGUUUGUCGAUUGAAAAUGGUAGGCUUGUCGGUAACCCAAUUUGUCAUGGUUUUGUCGAUUGAAAACAGAGAGUAGCUUACUCGUCCUGAUUUGUUUUGUGAAUUUGGUGUCUUCUGAGAUGAAUAUCCCUAAGGCCCCGUUUGGAUCAUUGGAAUUGAAUUCCAUCCUAAUAAUCAUAAUUUAGACACAAAUUAAUUAAGCUAAUAUAAUUGUAUGUGGAAUAUAGUUGUAUAUUAUAGUUGGUGAUAUGGGAGAGAUACUUAUAUGCUGCACUUCUACUAUAGAGAAGCGAGUCCAAGAGCGUGCUAUAAGAAUUGAAUUCCAUUCUAAUAACCAUAAUCUAUAGAAUCAAUUUCCAUCUCCCACCCUAUGAAUUUAAGAUAGGCUUAUAUCUAAACUUUGGAAAGUUGUGGAAUGCCACAUUCCAACAUAAAUUAGCCUACUCCAUUAAAUAGAUUCCAAUUCCUUCAAAAUGAAGGAACCCAAACGGGACCUAAGGGCUUGUGUGGAUAGAAGAGGAUUGGACUGGAACGAAGGGAAUUGAGUUAAAAAUGAACUAAUUUCCCCCUCCAAUCCCUUCCAUUCCACUUCAAUCCACUACUACCCGAACAAGCCUUAAUGGACUUUAUACCUUCGACUGCAAACUAUAACUCAGUUAUCCUCAGCGCGAUAAACUGUCUAGCUGUUAUAAAUUCUUAUAGCCAUUUCAUUGUGGCGCCAAGAAGCACAGUG
Molecule: long non-coding RNA, 927 nt
Filed under: Setaria italica (foxtail millet)
Lineage: Eukaryota; Viridiplantae; Streptophyta; Magnoliopsida; Poales; Poaceae
Description: long non-coding RNA (SITA_LNC005520)
Source: RNAcentral